AGAGUUUGAUCAUGGCUCAGGACGAACGCUGGCGGCGUGCUUAACACAUGCAAGUCGAACGGAAAGGCCCUGCUUUUGUGGGGUGCUCGAGUGGCGAACGGGUGAGUAACACGUGAGUAACCUGCCCUUGACUUUGGGAUAACUUCAGGAAACUGGGGCUAAUACCGGAUAGGAGCUCCUGCUGCAUGGUGGGGGUUGGAAAGUUUCGGCGGUUGGGGAUGGACUCGCGGCUUAUCAGCUUGUUGGUGGGGUAGUGGCUUACCAAGGCUUUGACGGGUAGCCGGCCUGAGAGGGUGACCGGCCACAUUGGGACUGAGAUACGGCCCAGACUCCUACGGGAGGCAGCAGUGGGGAAUAUUGCACAAUGGGCGGAAGCCUGAUGCAGCAACGCCGCGUGCGGGAUGACGGCCUUCGGGUUGUAAACCGCUUUCGCCUGUGACGAAGCGUGAGUGACGGUAAGC
RNAcentral lists this ribosomal RNA (461 nucleotides) under uncultured organism. Its description in RNAcentral is "bacterial SSU rRNA". It matches the Rfam family "Bacterial small subunit ribosomal RNA", at positions 8 to 479 of the family's 1533-position model. The record is from RNAcentral.